UCCCAAUUACAUAUCAAACAAAAAGGCAGUCCACUACCAGAUUUACAAAUUCACUACACCAUGCCUUUCUAAAAAAAAAUGUGUGCUAGGACCAGUGAGUUCCAUCUCUACAACUAUUAAGAGCGGAUUGUAGACUGCCCCCGCCGCUACCAAAUCCUCCCGCUACCACGCGCCCAGCCCCCGCAAAAAUCGCCGCAACCGAACGCCGCGAUUCCCCGCCCGCAGAUCACGCGCAAGCGCAACCGACCCCUGCCGCGAUUCCCCUCCGCGGCGAAUCACCUGCAUCCGCAACUUCCGCUGGAGCAGGGGCCCCAUCUCCGGCCUGCUCAAGGGCUACGUCGGCCUCAGCACCGCCAUCUUCAUCGACACCUGCUUCGCGCUCUUCGCCGACGACCCGGCCUCGUUCCUCGUCAUGCUCGUCGUCGUGCCGGCCGCCGUCUGCGCGCUCGCCAUGGUGUUCCUCCGCGAGGGCACCGCCGCUGCGGACGAGGAGGACGACGGGCGCUGCUUCGCUCGCACCGCUCCUUCAAGGCGGGACAGGCAGCGGACGGUGGAGGGCUCGGACGCGCGGCUAAAGUGGGCGGCGGGGCCGCGCCGCGGGAGAUCUGGAGGUUGGCGAGCGCCCCGGAGAGAGCCCCCACCCCGGAGCCUGGUGGCCCUGGCUUGAGCCCUGCGCGGUAGGGUUUUGCGCGGCGAACGGCGGCAGCGGCUGCGGAGACGACGCCAUGGAUCGCAGCGAGAUCGGGUGCUCUGCUCUGCUACAGCAUGGAUCGUUUCGUGCGCGGUCGGGUCUGGCGGUCUGGCUUUUAGCACGUCACAUUUGGGAAAAUCGCUCGUGGACCUGCAUUUUAGUGUGGCAAAUUCACUAUAGAGGACAUUUUAAUGCAAUGGCGUAAGGCUCUGAGUUUGCCCAGAUGUUGAUGCUUUCGGGUAUACCUUCGUUGGAUAUAUAGGGUUUGUGAUGUUUUGGAAUUCUGCAAUUGAUCAAUGCUAGAUUUUUUUUGAUAGCGAUCAAUGCUAGAAUUGAAUUGCUGUAGAAUGCAUUCUACUUGCUGCUUGCAGUCGUGGUUGGUUAGAGGAAACUGUUUGGAUGGGGAGGAUUUCUCUAGGAACUUUUAGUUAUCCAUAAUGAUGGUGUCUAUUUCUAUGAUGCCUCAUAGUUACUAAAAUUUGCUUAUGUGUCACAGAAAGUUUCCAUAUGGCCUGUUUGGAUGGGGAGGAUUUCUUUAUGAACUUUUAGUUAUCCAUAAUGAUGUUGUCUAUUUCUAUGAUGGCUCAUAGUUAAUUAGUUAUAUAAUGAAUUCAUGUUAAGGUUAUGAUUUGGUCCUGAUAAAUCUCUUUACUCUCUUUUCUCUAAACCGAACAGCUAGCUGUGUUCACUGUUGCAGGAAAAGAGUAGUUUCUGGUGUACAGCCAACAGGAUCGGUUCACCUUGGAAAUUAUCUAGGGGCAAUUAAGAAUUGGGUUGCACUUCAGGCACAUGGUGUUUCAUCGAUUUUGAAUUUUAGUGAGAAUUGUACACCAGAAUUUUUGACGCCUUACCUGGAUGGAAUCGUGAAUAAAUUACUUGUUCUUCUUCAGAAUGGCAAGCAAAUGGUGCACGGGGGAGCAUUGACAGCUCUAGCGUCAGUAGCAUGGCAACAACCUCAGAUGCGCCGUCGUCAUCUUCUACAUCUUCCUCAAUGAAAAGGGUGCAAAGACGGAAUUCGAAAAAAGACUUGGCGAGUUCUUCAAGCACCAAAUCGGAACAGAUUCUUCUGUGGCUUAUGGAGAUGGGUUUCGAGCACUACACGUUGUAAGCAUGUGGUCGACCCUAUUCGACUGCUUGCAUCUGUCAAUUCUGAUCGCAGUGGCGCAACUAUAAGACGAGUGGUUAAAUUUAAGAUUAGAAAAGUUAAACGAACUAUAAAUUAGGACAGAGGGAAUAAUAUAAUAGUAGUAUUCUACUAA
Long non-coding RNA from Zea mays, 1950 nucleotides. RefSeq lists it as uncharacterized. The transcript has 3 exons. Lineage: Eukaryota; Viridiplantae; Streptophyta; Magnoliopsida; Poales; Poaceae. The record is from RefSeq and is a predicted model, not a curated record.